Acanthopagrus latus (yellowfin seabream) is the source of this 666-nucleotide long non-coding RNA. RefSeq lists it as uncharacterized. The transcript has 3 exons. The record is from RefSeq and is a predicted model, not a curated record. NCBI's taxonomy places the organism in Eukaryota, Metazoa, Chordata, Actinopteri, Spariformes, Sparidae.
GUCGUUCUCCUCCUGGAAGUUCAGGUGACAGCCUUUCUUUGGGUGGAGGAAGGUGGUGUUCUCCAUCCGACAGUCUUUGAACUUUUCCUGCCAGAGGUCUGCAGAGCACAGAGGGAUGUGGAAGGUGGAGGUGUUGAGGGAACGUACUUGUCAUGGAUGUACUCUCCCUCGCGGUGGAUCUGGUUGACCAGAGAGAAGUUGAAGUGGAAACGUUCGACCUUCUCUCUGUGAAACACUCGGACCUUGGACUCGUACUCUUCAUACUGCAUGUAUUUGAUCAUGUCGGGGAACCACACUCCCAGUCCAUGUGAAGACUCUCUCUGGCUCCCCCUUCGCCUUCCAGUUGGUGUCAUGAACCUGUCGCAGGAUCAUCCACGCCUCAUCGUGACGGGCAUUCUGAAAACAACACACAAACUUAUCUAUAAAUGUCUACGUAACCAAUAUUUCGCAAGUGUUCUGUGAAUCCUCUCAGGGUUUAUGAUUCCCACAUGCUCUGAAGCCAGAUGUGGCUGAGUAACAAUGUUCCCAUGAGGCCUGCCUCUUAUCAGAUGGGGGGAAUGUGUGAUAAUUUGGGGGUGUGUGAUACGAACAUGUUGGAGCAGCACUGCUGUAACAUACAAAUACAAUACCACAUGUGGUUACAGGUCUGACAAUGUCCUGGAUGAG